GCACUGCUGAGGAGUCCCACACUAGGACGAAACGGCCGUCCAAUGC
Schistosoma margrebowiei is the source of this 46-nucleotide non-coding RNA. The record is from Rfam. NCBI's taxonomy places the organism in Eukaryota, Metazoa, Platyhelminthes, Trematoda, Strigeidida, Schistosomatidae.